ACUGAAACACAGCAGUAUUUUUGUAGAGACGCCAAUGGCGCAUCGUACAUCAAGCCUCCUGACGUCACGUCGAGAGGUAAACAAACAAGGUGGCGGGUAGGUAAAAACGUGGUGUGUUAUGGAUGGAGCCUGGAAGUUGGAUUUAUCGUAAAAUUCCUCUUUUUGUACGGCACAACAUCGAGAUAUAGUAUCUACAACAUUUAAAGGAGCUACAGUUUGAAUUUGGUGGAGAAUAUGGAUAAAGUUGAGUGAUCUUCAACCAUGAAUACACCACCACCCACAUUGCUGCAGAAUAUGAAAAAAGUUGAGUGAUCUUCAAGCCACAAAUAAACCACCACCACCUACCCUGCAACAGGAAAACACUUGCUGAGCAGAUUUAUUGUGGGUUAUCAAGACUAGAAUUCAGUAGGAGCUUGUUAGCGUAAAGCAGAUGAAUGAUGGGUAGACCGAUUUGUUGGAAGCUUGCUAAGUACAAAUGAAGCAGAUGAACUGUGGCAAACCAAGGCUGUUAUACAGAAGGUUGAGCAAUGAAUUGUGGGAAAGCCAGACUGAUUUGUUUGAAUUUGUAUACAGUACUGACAAUAGCUGUACGGUGCUUGAAGCUAGUGAAGUCAGAUUUUGAGAUAAUGCAAGUGAACUGUGGAAAGUCAAAUUUUGAUAUAGAAUUGUGUGGAAUAGACACUGAUUGAUUUGAAUCCUGCUACAUACGCUGUUGUUACCUGAAGCUUUGCAAACUGUGAUGUAUGGAAAUGAAGCAGAUGGAUUAUGGGACACUGCAAAGAGAUUUAUUGUACAUUCAUAAAAUUGGUGGUUAUGAAAAGAAGUCAGGUUUGUGAUAUACUGUACAAUAAUUAGUAACUUAGUAUUAAUCCGAUUAAAAUGUUGGCCCAAUUCUUGAAUUACUUAAAAUGCUGAGGAUUCUGGACAAUGAGUUGAUUAAUAAAACCAGAAAUGAGAAUGAGAAUGGUCCUAUUUUGGACUUAGUUAAAAUUUUGUACUGAAAUUGUAAAUAGUGUAAAUUGUUGGUCCUAUUCUGGACAUAGUGUAAAUUAUUGGUCCAAUUCUGGACUGGUUAAAAUUCUGGAAUAUUGUAAAUUAGUUGUCCUAUCUUGAACUUAGUGUGAAAUUAUGGACUUCUUGGACUUGGUGUAAAUUAUUGGUCAAAUUCUGGACUUGCGUAGUGUAAAUAUAAAUGGUUUAGUCCUAUUCCGGACUUAGUUAAAAUUCUGGA
Molecule: long non-coding RNA, 1231 nt
Organism: Anneissia japonica
Lineage: Eukaryota; Metazoa; Echinodermata; Crinoidea; Comatulida; Comatulidae
Exons: 5
Source: RefSeq, a predicted model, not a curated record